CCUACGGGUGGCAGCAGUGAGGAAUAUUGGUCAAUGGGCGGAAGCCUGAACCAGCCAAGUAGCGUGCAGGAUGACGGCCCUACGGGUUGUAAACUGCUUUUAUACGGGAAUAACGCGCCUUACGUGUAGGGCUUUGCAUGUACCGUAUGAAUAAGGACCGGCUAAUGCCGUGCCAGCAGCCGCGGUAAUACGGAAGGUCCGGGCGUUAUCCGGAUUUAUUGGGUUUAAAGGGAGCGUAGGCGGUAUGUCAAGCGUGCUGUGAAAUGUCCGGGCUCAACCCGGGCCUUGCAGCGGAAACUGGCGUGCGUGAGUCCGCGGAAGGCAGGCGGAAGUCGUCGGGUAGCGGUGAAAUGCUUAGAUAUGACGAAGAACCCCGAUUGCGAAGGCAGCUUGCUGCAGCGGAACUGACGCUGAUGCUCGAAAGCGCGGGUAUCGAACAGGAUUAGAUACCCCAGUAGUC
Molecule: ribosomal RNA, 460 nt
Filed under: uncultured bacterium
Lineage: Bacteria
Description: partial 16S ribosomal RNA
Rfam family: Bacterial small subunit ribosomal RNA
Source: RNAcentral